Nicotiana attenuata is the source of this 853-nucleotide long non-coding RNA. RefSeq lists it as uncharacterized. NCBI's taxonomy places the organism in Eukaryota, Viridiplantae, Streptophyta, Magnoliopsida, Solanales, Solanaceae. The transcript has 7 exons. The record is from RefSeq and is a predicted model, not a curated record.
UACCACAUGUAUCUUUUUUCUCUUUCAAUGUAUGUAUUCCUUGGCAAAGCAGACACAAGAAAAACCAUCAGAGAAACGCUCCAGAGCCAAGACGAGUUCGAAAUCAGUUCUUGCGAUCCGUUGCGGUUGUUUUCUACCUCUGUUAUUCAGUGGCACUCGAACCGGAAGGUUAUACUCUACAUUGUGAUAAUUGCAUGUUCUUGUGUCUACUCAACAUUUUCGACUUCGAUCAUCUUAUCUUUGCAGGUGGAAAUUAUCCACUUAAUGAAACUCGAGUAGGUGGAAACAAAAGUCUCAUUGAGCUACUAGAAGAUGCAAAGAGUAAUCAAUUACAGGAUUUUCUACAAUCUUUAAACAAAUGAAGAUUUUCUAGCAAGAUCACAAAAUUAUUGACGACUAUUCACCGAUCUAUGGCAAACUUGAAAAAUGGAGCUUUUUUGAAGCAUGCUAUAUUUAAAACUACUGCCUUUUCUGAAAGCUAUACGGAAGGAAAGACAGGAUUGCAUAGGAAUUGUGUAGGACAGACAAUGCUCUAAAAGGAACCAGACGCUAACCAACAAUCAUGACAUGUAUCGACUUUUUGUCAGAGCAACAAUGGUGCUAUGGUGCUUGCCGAUAACAUGCUGGUUGCAUAAAUGCAUCAUCACCUUUUGCCUGUAUCAGAUACUUGAGAUUUGUAAAUAUAAUAUGUAUGUGAAUAUUACCACUAUAGAUCAACUAUUGUUCGAAGUGCAUGCAAAUAGAUCACGUAUUUUCAACUCUUAAUAAGGGGAGUUGUUAUAUUCAAUUGAUAAACAAAAUGGAAUAUAUGUAGUACCUUGAUGUUUGUAUUCAAUUAUAUUUUCAUACCAGC